CCGAGAAUAUUCGACAAUGGACGAAAGUCUGAUCGAGUGACACCGCGUGAUUGAUGAAGUCCCUAUGGGACGUAAAGAUCUUUUAUGAGGGAGGAAGUUUAUUGACGUUACCUCAUGAAUAAGGAGCUCCUAAUCUCGUGCCAGCAGGAGCGGUAAUACGAGAGCUUCGAGCGUUAUCCGGAAUUAUUGGGCGUAAAGGGUGCGUAGGUUGCAAUGUUAGUCUUUUGUCAAAUCCUUGUGCUUAACAUAAGGGCUGCGAAAGAAACGGCAUAGCUUGAAAGUGUGAGAGGCGUACGGAACUCAUGGUGUAGGGGUGAAAUCCGUUGAUAUCAUGGGGAACACCAAAUGCGAAGGCAGUACGCUGGCGCAUAUUUGACACUGAAGCACGAAAGCGUGGGUAGCGAAUGGG
RNAcentral lists this ribosomal RNA (409 nucleotides) under uncultured bacterium. Its description in RNAcentral is "bacterial SSU rRNA". It matches the Rfam family "Bacterial small subunit ribosomal RNA", at positions 355 to 776 of the family's 1533-position model. The record is from RNAcentral.